Long non-coding RNA from Panthera uncia (snow leopard), 3562 nucleotides. RefSeq lists it as uncharacterized. The record is from RefSeq and is a predicted model, not a curated record. The transcript is spliced from 3 exons. NCBI's taxonomy places the organism in Eukaryota, Metazoa, Chordata, Mammalia, Carnivora, Felidae.
UGGCGGGAUCAUCCCGGGGUCGCCGGCGCGUCGCCGCGCAUCAGUUCGCUGGAGAUUGAAUGCGCCGUUCUAGUAGGGGGUGGCUCGUAGGCCCUCCCGGGGAAAGGGGAACGUCGACCGGCACCCGCUGGUGCGUCUCUGCCUGCGGGAACCCAGUGUGGCGCCGCGGGGGAAAGGGAGAGGGUGCCCCGCUCCUAGAGGCCGGCCCGGGACGUGCGGGGAGGCCGGGGUAAGGUGCCCGGGGCCCGGCCGCGGCUCCUCGUGGGGUCCGGUGGUCGGAGGCGCCUCCGCCGAAGUUCUCCCAAGUCCCAAACGAUAGACGUGGAUGCACCGGCCGCGCCCCGGGGGCCGGGGAGGGCGGACCCCGGCUGCACUUGUGCUUGCGUGGUUUCUUGCGCUCGAUUUUUCGGAAUCCUGCUCCGGAGGCGAGGAGCGUCACGGAACGUGCAGAGUGGCGGGGAUAAGGUGCUCAGGGUCUGGCCGCGGUUCCCCACGGGGCCCGGCGGUCGGAGAUGCCUCCCGGAAGUUUCUUUCAAGCCCCGGGCUUCUGUCCCGGACGGGCAGCUGCGCGUGGGGACAGACGGGAGGACGUAGCCGGCCCGCGGCGGCCCCCGCGCGUUCCGAGCGCCUCACAGACACGACCGACCGUUGAGUUGGCCAGGUGGCCCCAGGAGCUCCGGGGUUGCAGCGAUGGGAUCGUGUUGGGGGGCCAGUAGUUGAACCCAGGAGGCCCCCGUGAUCCGUAGAGUCCUUACCCGGACCCGUAAUUUUUUCACUCGAAGGCUAGUAUUUUUUUUUUUAUUUUAAUUAUUUUAAUUUUAUUUACUUUUGCUGCCAGGAAAGGGCUGGUAUGGUUUCCAAAGCCCGUGCUUUGAAGUGGGAGUGCGGAAUAGCUCAGAAGGUUGCUUUGUGGACGGUAACGCAAUUUCCUUCGCUUGGAACCCUGGGUCUCUGCGGCAGUAACCGCGCAUGCGCGAGCCCCGACCUCGAGGCUGCUUCAAUCCUCAGGCGCUUAAGGGCGUCCUCUGGCCCGUGUGACCCCCGCCGCAGGGACCAGGCAGCGGCCGAGGCCGGAGGCCCAAAGCAGGCCCGGAGGUGUUGUCCGUGCAGGCUCCCCUUGGAGCUCCUCGAUUCGAACUCCGUGGUGAGCCCGCUCUCCCGCGCUGGGCUCGGCUCCAACCAGACGCAAGACGGAUGUUCCGGUGCGGGGAGCUGCUCCUCCCCCUCCACUAGCUCCUUCCCUGCAGGGGGGUGCGCGGUGUGCAGGCAGGGAUGCGGAACCCGCCUGGCCUCGCCCUGCUCCACGGCUCCGUUUGGGCCGGGGCCGCUGGCCCCGCGGACACUCUUUCCUUCUCCGCGGCUUCGUAAGCGGUUCUCCCCACAGUGGAGAGGCCGUCCCUCCGCGCUGUGCGCCCCCGGAUCACUCGAGGUCAGCCCCCAAGUGCGGGUUCGCCUUGGCCCCUGAGCGUCCGUCCACCCCAGUGCGCCCGAGGAGCCGGGGUGGAGUUGGGGAGUCGAGUGGGGGAGGGAGGCGCGCCCGACAGCGACGGUGGGGGUUCGAACCUGUGAUGCAUCGCAUUGGUGCGUCCCGGAGCAGCGCAGACUCCCAGGCCGACCAGUGGCUGCUCAAGGAGCCUUGUGCUUCCCUUCAUCUCCAAGCCCCUGCCCGCAUGUCCGGGCAUCUCUGCAACCCCGGCGGGCCAGGAUUUGGGGGAACGAACUUCUGCGAUCAAGGCUCUCCCCCGACGGCCCUGCCGCCGCUCAUUUCUCGAGCGGAGUAGCCCUUGCGAGGCGUCCCAGCGCCUCCCCUCGGCGUGGAGCCCCCUGGUCUCUCCGUGGGGCCGAGCACCGCUUCCCGCGUCGUGAGCCGUGCGAUAGCCUCCGAGGCAGGGGCGGGUCCGACAGCGGUCCGGCGAUGGGCGCGGGCACGCGUGCGGGGCUCUUUUCCGAGACUUAGGAGCCCGUCUCCAGCACCCCGAGCCCCCUGUGGGUGCCUCUCGGCAGCUCACAAAUCCUCAGAUCAUAACCGGAGCUGAAGUUUGGACGCUUAAGCGACUGAGCGACCCAGGCGCGCCCCAAUCCUCCUUGACACCUCCGACGAACUUUCGGCCGUGGAAGCAGGUGCCUCAGAGGGUGCUCGCCAGGGGCUCCCUGGGACCCGCUGUUCUGCCGCUUUGUGCACCCCGCACUCCUGUUGGCGGAUGGUCGUGCCACAGGGUGGUGGUCCUCCGGGCAAGCGCAGACAUGGUGCCUCCUCCCGCGCGCCCAGCUUCCCGCGCCCACUCGAGGAACCCAUCUGCUGGGAAACCAAAGAUUUUGGCCGUGUUUUUGCUCUGGGAGUCGGGAGGCAAGAAGGCGGUGGGAGUGGCAAGCCGAGCGGCCGCUUAAAGGAAUGAAAAACAACGCCAAGAAAUCUGUUCAAAGCCUGGUGCCAUUUCCAUGAAAACUAAGCCUCGGAGAAGGCAGCGAACCCCUCGUCUCUGAGCGGUUUAAUUUGGCGUCUGGCUGUAAGCUGUAACUUGCCCAGUUGCAGACCGAGGAAGGGUUCCAUUCCUUCGGAUAGAAGUGGUGAAGGGCCAACCCCAGAGGGGACCCAGAUUACCAGGUGCGAUCAGAGGGUAAACGCUGUGAAGCAAGGGCGGAUCGAGGAGCAAGGAGAAAGAGGUCUCGCUGCGAAGACCCAGGUUUUGCUGCUGAUCUUCAGAACGCAUUGGAAUGUGAAUGUUUUAAAGACCUUGUUAGGCCUAAAAACACUGGGAGGUGGUGGCAGCUGUUCUAACGGCCCCUGGAAGGUGUGUGCUCAUUCCUUGACCCGACGAGAGGUGUCCUUCUAGAAGUUGUAGGAAGGAGGAGGGGGAGAUUACUGCCAUAUAAGGAAGUUCUAUUUGAUGACCGGAGACAAAGAUCCUCUACAGAGGCCUUGUUGCUGCCUUUUGAAGGUAAGUACAGAAGUGAUCUUCGGUCAAGGAGCAGGAAAGGAGGCAGGUCUUGGGGGGAAAGGUAGAGGAUGAGCAUUCAACCCCAAAACCUGUGUCCGGGCCUGUGCCCCCAUAGGGAGGGAGGGAUGUGUAGAUUUACCCUUAUGUGAACAGACUGUUGUGACCUUUGGAAUCAUUAAGACCAGUUUAAUGGUGGUCUUAUACCACCACAAGUCUGCAGUAACUGUUUUCAGCAGCUUCUAGGUAGAGAAGUAAUACAAUUUAUACUUGUUUUGGUGAUGGAAUAAUGAAAUGCAUGUUUUUGUUUUCUUUAGGUUUGCUUAUUUAUUUUGAGGGAGAGCAUGAGUUGGGGGGAGGGGGCAGAGAGAAAAAAAUCCCAAGGCUCUGUGCUGUCAGCCCAGGGCUGACUGUGGGGGCUUGAACUCACAAACCCUGAGACCGUGUGACCUGAGCUGAAAUCAAGAGCCUGAACCACCUACGUGGGCCCCAUGAAAUGCAUUUUGAAAAAUAUUAUUCCAAUUUUAAGAAUUCAGUGACAUUGAUAGGAUGUCCCUCAGGAUCCAUCUAUGUAAGUUGGCUGUGGGUGGAGGUGGGGUGGAUAGAAAAGACCCCAGAAGAAAACA